AUUUAUGGAAGCCAUAGAGUGGGAACUUUUGGCAUCCUGAAGAAUUGUGUUCUAGAAUCUAUAUCUUUAAUAUCAUUCCUCGGGUCAGAAGCUGCCAUGAGCAAAGAGGAGUGCUACCAGUGCCUGAGGGUCCUUACAUUGGCAAGGACUUGAUACUGUAAGAUAUACCAGAUUGUUUGAGCAGUUUCCCCCAUGGCUAAGCAUAAGGCAUUUCUUGAUCUGCAUUUUCUGGGAGGUAAAAGUUUUAACGAAGUUAUAGAAGAUUCCUCAUUGUGACAGGUUAUAAAAUCAGGAGGAAAGGGAUAAAGCUGCACACACUUUCCCAGCUUUCCAGGCAUCAUGUCCACUUACUCUCAUCAGAGAGCUGAAUCUGUCCUUCUCUGGGAGUAAUCAGAGCAUUUGCCUAAGGAUAUUCCACCCAUGGUAAAGCGCCCAAGGAAGUUAUCUGUGGCCUCCAGACAUCUCAAAGAUAUUCAUAUACUACUGGGACUUGGCUAAAAAGUAAGAAUAGAUAUUACUGCUCCCCUCUACUCCUUCCCAAUAUUAAAGAAGAGAAGCUUUGUAGGU
Long non-coding RNA from Pseudopipra pipra, 567 nucleotides. RefSeq lists it as uncharacterized. The record is from RefSeq and is a predicted model, not a curated record. The transcript has 3 exons. Lineage: Eukaryota; Metazoa; Chordata; Aves; Passeriformes; Pipridae.